This 497-nucleotide ribosomal RNA is filed under the name uncultured bacterium. RNAcentral describes it as "partial 16S ribosomal RNA". It matches the Rfam family "Bacterial small subunit ribosomal RNA", at positions 28 to 507 of the family's 1533-position model. The record is from RNAcentral.
GAUGAACGCUGGCGGCGUGCCUAAUACAUGCAAGUCGAGCGAACAGACGAGGAGCUUGCUCCUCUGACGUUAGCGGCGGACGGGUGAGUAACACGUGGAUAACCUACCUAUAAGACUGGGAUAACUUCGGGAAACCGGAGCUAAUACCGGAUAAUAUAUUGAACCGCAUGGUUCAAUAGUGAAAGACGGUUUUGCUGUCACUUAUAGAUGGAUCCGCGCCGCAUUAGCUAGUUGGUAAGGUAACGGCUUACCAAGGCAACGAUGCGUAGCCGACCUGAGAGGGUGAUCGGCCACACUGGAACUGAGACACGGUCCAGACUCCUACGGGAGGCAGCAGUAGGGAAUCUUCCGCAAAGGGCGAAAGCCUGACGGAGCAACGCCGCGUGAGUGAUGAAGGUCUUCGAAUCGUAAAACUCUGUUAUUAGGGAAGAACAAAUGUGUAAGUAACUAUGCACGUCUUGACGGUACCUAAUCAGAAAGCCACGGCUAACUACGUG